UACAGAGGGUGCAAGCGUUAUUCGGAAUUACUGGGCGUAAAGCGCAUGUAGGUGGGAUAAAAAGUCAGAUGUGAAAUCCCGGAGCUUAACUUCGGAAUUGCAUUUGAAACUGUUAUUCUUGAGUCUGGGAGAGGGAAGCGGAAUUCCAGGUGUAGAGGUGAAAUUCGUAGAUAUCUGGAGGAACACCAGAGGCGAAGGCGGCUUCCUGGUCCAGUACUGACACUCAGAUGCGAAAGCGUGGGUAGCAAAC
RNAcentral lists this ribosomal RNA (250 nucleotides) under uncultured bacterium. Its description in RNAcentral is "partial 16S ribosomal RNA". It matches the Rfam family "Bacterial small subunit ribosomal RNA", at positions 524 to 773 of the family's 1533-position model. The record is from RNAcentral.